AUGCCUAGCACCCGCCUGGUGCCGGCGGCGGGGGGAGAAAGGGGCGGUGGGGCUCUAGCACCCGCCUGGCGGCCGCCACCACAUCAAGGUCGCCGAGGCGGCUCCAGCUCCCUGGACAUGCCGCCGACCUGCCGCUCUUUCACUGAAGUAGUUGAUGAAGUAGUAUGCUGCGUGGAGUACCACUUUGAGACAGUUUCAGGCAGCAGAAAGAUCAGGAAAAGGAAGAAUCUUUCUAAACAUAAGGACUUAUUCGAGGUGAUAGUACUACACUUUUUUGUAAUGAAAUACUACAAAUCGAGCCACUUGUUACUAUCUAACUGA
RNAcentral lists this ribosomal RNA (321 nucleotides) under Triticum aestivum (bread wheat). Its description in RNAcentral is "partial small subunit ribosomal RNA". The record is from RNAcentral. Lineage: Eukaryota; Viridiplantae; Streptophyta; Magnoliopsida; Poales; Poaceae.